AUCAUUAUUAGCAGUUUGCAUGUUACAGUUUGCAGUUUGCAUAUUUACUGUUUGCAUAUUUGCAUUUUGUAAGCUUGUUUUUUGCAAGCUUGUAUUGCUUGCUUUUUGCUGGUUUGCAUUUUGCAGGCUUGCUUUUUGCAAGCUUGUUUUGCUUGCUACAUUUUGCAGACUUAUAUUUUGCAGGGUUGCUUUAUUUUCUUGUUGUUGUCUUGCUUUUCCCUCUACAAAGCUUGCAGAAGUUGCAAGAUUUCUACUUCAGGAUUUGUAUCUAGCUGAGAGUAUUCCCAGGCCUGGUCAAUUACAUCAUUAUUAGCAGUUUGGAGUUUGCAGUUUUCAGUUUGCAUGCUUGCUUUUUGCAGGUUUGCAUUUUGCAAGUCUGCAUUUUGCAGGUUUGCUUUACUUUCUUUUUGCAUGCUUGCUUUUUCCUCUACAAAUCCUGCAGAAAUUGUAAGAUUUAUUAUACAAUCUCUGGAAUCUUUAACAGAUAAUGGGGAGGUGUCGACUCUGAUGUCCACGGCCAGAAUUUUCUCCACUUCUCAUGCGAUACAUCAUCUGCAUGAGCAACAGCCUUCACACUUAAAUCACCCGAGUCCAAGCCUGACAUGUG
This is a long non-coding RNA of Rhineura floridana, 607 nucleotides long. RefSeq lists it as uncharacterized. Lineage: Eukaryota; Metazoa; Chordata; Lepidosauria; Squamata; Rhineuridae. The transcript is spliced from 3 exons. The record is from RefSeq and is a predicted model, not a curated record.